CCGCGCUCCACGAUGUACAUACGGCCACGGAAGUUUGGCUCCUCGUACAUCACCCAGCUGAGGAUGAAGAGAAGACAGAUGAAGUUCUUGGACAGGCCGCGACUCUGCAGGAAGGGACAGUCGUCGCAGAUGUCGACACACUGACCGGAGAAGUUACAGGCCUCGAACAGCUCGAUGCGGUAAUGCUCUCCAUGCUGACGGACACACACAGGAAACACAACCAGAAGUCUCUUUAAGGCCCGCCUCCUGAUCAGCCCACAGGAAGUAAAACGGGUUCCUCCCUGAAUUAGCGGAGCUUCGUUAGCGGGCGCUAAAGCUGGUCGAAUCGACAACACGCGGAGAUAUUUGGAGCCGUUUGUUGAGCGGAUCAGUUAGAAAUAAAACAGAGAGGAAGAGUACAAGCAGCAACAGCCACAGCGAUGAUGAUGAUGAUGUUUGAUGAAGAGCUGCAGACGACAACAGCUAAACUACUGAUUUUACUUUGCUGAUGUGUGAUGGAGAUGCUGCUUUCUGUUCACUGGGAUAUUUCACACUUUGGCCGCUUUUAAUAUGAAAAUCCAACAUUGUGACGUUAAAUAUAUGACUGAAAAUAAGGAAAACUGACUGUUAGAGACCAGAUCAACGUCUUCAAACGUCGUUUUAUCUGAUCAACAGUCAGUUUACCGUCAUAUAAGACCGAAAAGCUUCAAAUCAUCACAUUUGAGAAGCUGAAACCUGCAGUUUUUUGAUUAUUGGUUUAUCAAAAUAAUAGCAGAUACGUUUUCUGUCGAUCAAAUAAUCAAUUUAAGUCGUCUUCUGUGUUUAAAUAUCAUGAAUUUCUGCUCAUUAGGUUUGUUUCAUCCAGCUGGUGGAUGAGCAGGAAUAUCUACGACAGCUUUCCC
Thunnus maccoyii (southern bluefin tuna) is the source of this 881-nucleotide long non-coding RNA. RefSeq lists it as uncharacterized. Lineage: Eukaryota; Metazoa; Chordata; Actinopteri; Scombriformes; Scombridae. The record is from RefSeq and is a predicted model, not a curated record. The transcript is spliced from 3 exons.